UUCUUAUAUUUCCGUGAAAGUUACAAUAUAAUCAAAAUGAGAAUUUUUAUUUUCGAAUAAAUAUAUUAAGAUUAACCAAGUAUGUAACAACUUUUCUUACGGAAGAAUUUGUUGAAACUCCAACGAGAACGGACGAGAAUGUGCUGAGAAAGGAAAGGCUUAGAGACAUUCAGACAAUUUGCGUAGGGUCAGGUAAUUUUCUUUUAGUUUAGUUUGUAGUACUGCAGCUAUUGAUUAUUGUUAUUUGUACCUUUUGCUUUGUAUUGUGUGUUUUUCUAGACAAGCCUUUGUAGCUUUGAAUGUCGGAUACAUGCACUUGAGAUGGAACUCAAGCUUUGUAAGCAACAGAUUGCAGGGUUGGAGAAGUCCUAUGAAUACGUUGCAUUGGAUGAUGGCCAAAGUUCCAGGGAGAUGAAUUUUGCUAGUCUUUCUUCCUUUGAAACUGGGAAGUUGUUUCUGCCAUGAAGAUUGAUUGCACAAAUUAUUAGCUAUAUGCCAAUACCUGUUGAAAACUUGAAGAACUUAAUAAAAAAAGGUCUCAGAAUCAUUAUGUGUAACUUAAGAGUUAAGAUGACUACUUGGUCACUCAGUUGUAACUAGUGGACUUUGAGGAAACCUUUUCGGCAGAGGAAAAAGAUCAUAAGAGGGAGUACAUUAUGUAGUCAUUGUAAAUUUCUGUUUUGUUAGUCCUUGAUAUUCUGGUGUGAGUUGUAUCAUUGUUCUUUAGUUGAAUUACCCCCUUCACAUUUCCAUGGAUUGAUGUUUUAGUUAUUUGACGAUAGGGACCAAAACAUGUAAUGUUUAGGUAUAGAGACCAAUUUAAUACUUUAUCCUUCUUUUAGUUUACAUUUUGAA
Molecule: long non-coding RNA, 855 nt
Organism: Glycine soja
Lineage: Eukaryota; Viridiplantae; Streptophyta; Magnoliopsida; Fabales; Fabaceae
Exons: 2
Source: RefSeq, a predicted model, not a curated record